RNAcentral lists this ribosomal RNA (402 nucleotides) under uncultured bacterium. RNAcentral describes it as "bacterial SSU rRNA". It matches the Rfam family "Bacterial small subunit ribosomal RNA", at positions 355 to 774 of the family's 1533-position model. The record is from RNAcentral.
UCGGGAAUUUUGGGCAAUGGGCGAAAGCCUGACCCAGCAACGCUGCGUGAGGGAUGAAGUAUUUCGGUAUGUAAACCUCGAAAGAAUGGGAAGAAUAAAUGACGGUACCGUUUAUAAGCUCCGGCUAACUACGUGCCUGCAGCCGCGGUAAUACGUAGGGAGCAAGCGUUGUUCGGAUUUACUGGGCGUAAAGGGCGCGUAGGCGGCGCGGUAAGUCACUUGUGAAAUCUCUGAGCUUAACUCAGAACGGCCAAGUGAUACUGCUGUGCUAGAGUGCGGAAGAGGCAACCGGAAUUCUUGGUGUAGCGGUGAAAUGCGUAGAUAUCAAGAGGAACACCUGAGGCGAAGGCGGGUUGCUGGGCCGACACUGACGCUGAUGCGCGAAAGCCAGGGGAGCAAACG